Small nucleolar RNA from Mustela putorius furo (domestic ferret), 88 nucleotides. Its record names the gene SNORD14. It matches the Rfam family "Small nucleolar RNA SNORD14". From Rfam's summary of the family: U14 small nucleolar RNA (U14 snoRNA) is required for early cleavages of eukaryotic precursor rRNAs. In yeasts, this molecule possess a stem-loop region (known as the Y-domain) which is essential for function. A similar structure, but with a different consensus sequence, is found in plants, but is absent in vertebrates. NCBI's taxonomy places the organism in Eukaryota, Metazoa, Chordata, Mammalia, Carnivora, Mustelidae. The record is from Ensembl.
UCACUAUACUAAUUAAUUUCCAGACAUUGUCAGUUUUCCACCAGAAGGUCUUUUCCUUAUGUUGGCUGGUUCUUCAUUAGCUGAGUGA